UGGGGAAUCUUGCGCAAUGGGCGGAAGCCUGACGCAGCAACGCCGCGUGUGGGAAGACGGCUUUCGGGUUGUAAACCACUUUCAGGGGGGACGAAGCUUCCGAGGUUAAUAGCCUACGGGGUGACGGUACCCCCAGAAGAAGCCCCGGCUAACUACGUGCCAGCAGCCGCGGUAAUACGUAGGGGGCGAGCGGUGUCCGGAAUCAUUGGGCGUAAAGCGCGUGUAGGCGGCUUGGUAAGUCUGGUGUGAAACCUUGGGGCUCAACCCUAAGCGUGCACUGGAUACUGCCUGGCUUGAGUCCGGGAGGGGAGAGCGGAAUUCCUAGUGUAGCGGUGAAAUGCGCAGAUAUUAGGAAGAACACCGGUGGCGAAGGCGGCUCUCUGGAACGGUACUGACGCUGAGACGCGAAAGCGUGGGGAGCGAACAGG
Molecule: ribosomal RNA, 428 nt
Filed under: uncultured bacterium
Lineage: Bacteria
Description: bacterial SSU rRNA
Rfam family: Bacterial small subunit ribosomal RNA
Source: RNAcentral